RNAcentral lists this ribosomal RNA (2094 nucleotides) under Triticum aestivum (bread wheat). RNAcentral's name for it is "partial small subunit ribosomal RNA". The record is from RNAcentral. Lineage: Eukaryota; Viridiplantae; Streptophyta; Magnoliopsida; Poales; Poaceae.
AUGGCUUCUGGAUCCACUUCUUCCGGCUCUGGGAGGAGGGGGCUGGUGUCUUGCGCGCACAGCCUCAAAUGCCGCGUCGAGGAUGCGCCUCUGCCUCUUUACCCCGACCUCGAAAAGGCCAUCUACGAGCUCAUCGUCGGCUUCUACGACCAGGCGUUCAACCGGCUGCCCUGCGACAGGAUUCCGGGCCUCCGCGACCUGCUCACCACCGCCGGCACCUGCCUCGGCCUCCUCGACCCCGUCUCCAACAUCAUCCUCAACACCCUCGCCCUCCUCCCCGAAGGCGCCGCCGCCGCAGCUUCCACCGCUCCACCCGCCACAAAGAAGUCCAAAAGACUAGUGCGCAAGGCCUGGGCCUGGCACGACAUUGCAAACAGGUCCUACAACAGUCUCCUGGCCUUCCUCAUGGCGUACUUCGGAUGUCUCUGCACCAAGGAACAGGCCGCCCGCUACAUCUACUGGGCGGGCGCCAAUCUCAGCCUCGCCGUCAUGCUCGUCGAAUACGAUCUCUACUAUAGGGUGGAGGAUACACUGGACCCUGAAUCCGGCAGGACGCAGGCCGCCCUCGAGUGGGCGGCCACCAUCGCAGGUCACCCUUCCCCCACCGUUUUGACUAAGCUCAUGUCAUCCCAGCUCAAAGACGACGACUUUCACCUUCUGGAGAAGCAACUCUUUUCAGCAGCAGAUACCCCUCUCAAGGCUGAUGAUGUCGGAGAAAUCGACAGCAUAUUGCGCAUGAUGAUGAGCCCGCCCUGUGUUGCCAGCAGGACACCAGGACCACCUCCACCUCUCUCUGCUGGGGACGGAAAACCCAUCUCGUCGCUGCAGUGCGGACUGCCUGACAAGCUAGAACGUUGCCUGGAAAGAGCAGCUGGCCUGGAACAAUAUUUGGAGAACCUGUGCAGCAGUGACAGCUGCGAUUACCUGCAGACUCUCAAGAUGCACCUCCACGGUAUGAUUCAUAUCUGCUGCGUCAAGGUGCUCAAGCUGCUGCCCAAACCAUCCGGCUCGCUCAUGCGCGCCUUCCUCAUGGCCGGCCACUGCUACGGCUCCAUGGACCCUGUCUCCAACAUCAUCGUCAACUCCAUUUGGGACAACAGCCACGGCUGCCCUCUCCCAGAGUCUGAACGCAGCAAGAUUGAGCAAUACAAUGACAUCCUGGACCCCCUAUCUCUGCUCCGCACACAGGUUCACUCCCUCAAGGGCCUUGUGGAACUCGCCAAAUUCGCCAUCCUGGAGACAGCACACGGGGGGUUCUCAACAGAGGGUUGUGCUCUGGAGUUGCUCUGCAGUGCAGGAUGCGACGUUUUUGACAGGUUUCCAUCAUCGGCAGGGAUGUUUAAAGAGAAGAAGCUCUUCCAUGAAGUUGCCAAGGCCGCUGGACACCCUCUACCGCUUCAGCUGGGUGAACUGCACGAGAUGCUGAUGGUAGCACCCGAGGGACAAGCGCUGCUCUCCUUGACGUCCGAGGCUCAAAUUCAAUGUAGUGUGUUGCGCAUCGAGGACAUGACAAAUCAUAUAAGCCGCAUGUGGCGCGGUUGGGUGGCUGCUAAAACUGGUGGCGUUGUGCAAGCUCCUAAACUUUUUCCAAAGUCUUUGAUGUUCGUGUCAAGCAUGAGAUCAAAGUAUGAGGAGCGGAGGAGUUGGUUCCGCUCAAAGAUUGAACAGGUGCUGAAGGAUUACACGACCCAGCAUUUUUGGGAGCAGCAGUAUAAACUUGAUAUUAUCUGUGGCGUGGAGGCAAUCAACAAAGGCCGCCCCCCCUUGGGUGAGAUGUGCUACCGCGUGAACUUCACUGCUACUUCCCAUUUGGAGCGUGAGAGGAGGCUAUUCUUCGCUGAGUUUUUGUUCUCAGGUGGGCCAAGGCCAGAGACCUGCUGCCCUCUACCCUAUGACUAUGCGGGCCGUUGCUACUAUGGUGAGCAAACCGCGAGGAAAAUUGUGUAUCCUGAUGACGCCAAAUACAUCCCGCACGAUAUCACCCAUCCUGGAACCCGCCGUGUGGAUGACAUGCUAGAGAUGGACGUCGUCCACUUCAGUUCCGAGAUGGACGUGGAGCUCGCAGAGAAACUCAACAAGAUGCAUGCCAAUUGA